Molecule: long non-coding RNA, 457 nt
Organism: Epinephelus fuscoguttatus (brown-marbled grouper)
Lineage: Eukaryota; Metazoa; Chordata; Actinopteri; Perciformes; Serranidae
Exons: 3
Source: RefSeq, a predicted model, not a curated record
UACCAGCAGGCUGUCAGUGGAAAAUUCACAAGCCAGUCAGCAAGACACAAAGACGACAUCGUAUAGUACAGGCAGUGAGUGAAAAUGAUUUCCAUCUACCUGAUCAUCAUAGCUCUGGCAACAACAGCUGUGGCAAAAGCUCCAGUGUCAAAGCCAGCUGUGUCUGAGAUGUGUUUGUCACCAGAACAAAUGAACAUCAGCUGCUCCUCUGGGACUGGCUGUGGGCUCUUGUCUGUAUCAGUGAAUAACCGUCUAAACUCAAAAUGAACUCUACUCAAUCUCUCUCAGACAAACCAGACAGCUGACUCACAAUCACUGACCGGGGAAGAAGCUGAAGAAGACAAAUCCAGUGACUCUAAUGUUAACAUCAGCUUAUAUGGUCAGCUGACUAGAAACUUGAUGUGUCAAGUUAGGAAUAAUGUCAGCAGAGAUAAAACAGUUCUCUAGCUGAUGAAGU